CUCUUGCACGCGUCGCGGCUGACGAAAGUUAGCCUUCCGACUCGCCGCCGCGCCAACUAUAUAGCCGCCGCUGCGCGUACGCGGACAGAUCGUAUAAUAGGUAUCUAGCUCUAAAUCCGUCGUCUCGUCUCGUCCAUUCAUUCGUUUCAUUCGGACGCGCGCCGCGCACACCACUAUACAAAUAUAAUUCAAUAUCACAUUUGUGUCGUAUAAAAUAACGACCGAGCCGAAACCGUCGCACACACGUCUCCGAGCCGCCGACGACGACCACAAUACACGCACGCAUACGGGGCGACCGCACGUGACGAAGACACCGACCGACCGACCGACCGAACGACGGACACCACCGGCAGCGACGACGGACGCCACUGUCAACGACGACGACGACGACGACGACGACGACGACGACGGU
Cinara cedri is the source of this 412-nucleotide non-coding RNA. The record is from the annotation of a GenBank genome assembly. Lineage: Eukaryota; Metazoa; Arthropoda; Insecta; Hemiptera; Aphididae.